This 310-nucleotide ribosomal RNA is filed under the name uncultured bacterium. RNAcentral's name for it is "bacterial SSU rRNA". It matches the Rfam family "Bacterial small subunit ribosomal RNA", at positions 505 to 796 of the family's 1533-position model. The record is from RNAcentral.
GUGUCAGCAGCCGCGGUAAUACGGAGGGUGCGAGCGUUGUCCGGAAUCACUGGGCGUAAAGGGCGCGUAGGCGGCAUGCCAAGCGUGUGGUGAAAGCCCGGGGCUCAACCCCGGGUCGGCCGUGCGGACUGGCGUGCUCGAGCACUGUAGGGGCGGGUGGAAUUCCGGGUGUAGCGGUGGAAUGCGUAGAGAUCCGGAAGAACACCGGUGGCGAAGGCGGCCCGCUGGGCAGGAAGACACCGCAAGGUGUCGGCUGACGCUGAGGCGCGACAGCGUGGGGAGCAAACAGGAUUAGAUACCCCCGUAGUCC